Sapajus apella (tufted capuchin) is the source of this 1133-nucleotide RNA transcript. It is a transcript of the gene named X-ray repair cross-complementing protein 6 pseudogene, with no coding region annotated. The transcript has 2 exons. NCBI's taxonomy places the organism in Eukaryota, Metazoa, Chordata, Mammalia, Primates, Cebidae. The record is from RefSeq and is a predicted model, not a curated record.
AUGUGGAAAAAUGAUCGGUGCUGGAGAAGGUUAAAUUCUCAGUCCCUGAAGUCUCGCUGCUGUGGCUACAGCCCAAGAAAGUUAAUGAAAGAAAGGAGCACUGACAACUCCUGCUGCUUCGACAGGAGCUUACCACCUCAUUACUGGCCAGAUUCUUACAACCAAAAGAAAAGAAUACUUCUGCCAAGAAAAAGAAGAGUAUCUGAGUUGAGAGGAGACGAAGGCACUUCUCAGACUAAAGCAAUAGAAAAGCCUCCCUGGACACCCCGGAGGAACGUCCCCUCUUAUUUUGUGGCUUUGGUGCCACAGGACAAGAAGUUGGAUGACCAGAAAAUUCAGGUCACUCCUCCAGGCUUUCAGCUGGUCUUUUUACCAUUUGCUGAUGAUAAAAGGAAGGUGCCCUUUACUGAAAAAAUCAUGGCAACUCCAGAGCAGGUGGGCAAGAUGAAGGCUGUCAUUAAGAAGUUCUGCUUCACAUACAAAAGUGACAGCUUUGAGAACCCCACACUACAGCAGCACUUCAGGAACCUGGAGUCCUUGGUCUUCGAUUUGAUGGAGCCUGAACAAGCAGUGGACCUGACAUUGCCCAAGGUUGAAGCAAUGAAUAAAAAACUGGGUUCCCUGGUGGAUGAAUUUGAGGAGCUUGCUUACCCACCAGAUUACAAUCCUGAAGGGAAAGUUACCAACAGAAAACAUGAUAAUGAAGGUUCUGGAAGCAAAAGUCCCAAGCUGGAGUAUUCAGGAGAGGGGCUGAAGACCCACAUCAGCAAAGGCACACUGGGCAAGUUCACUGUGCCCAUGCUGAAAUAGGCUUGCCAGGCGUACGGGCUGAACAGGGGGCUGAAGAAGCAGGAGCUGCUGGAAGCCUUCACUAAGCACUUCCAGGACUGACCAGAGGCUGUGCACCCAGCUGUCCUUCCACAGUGUGGCCAGGCUGCCUGGCCUUGUUCUCAGCCAGUUAAAAUGUGUUUCUCCUGAGCUACAAAGAGUCUACCAGACAGAAGUUGAGGGACUUUAUGUUUUUGAGGCUUUCUGUUGCUAUGGUGAUGGUGUAGCCCUACCACUUUGCUGUUCCUUACUUUACUGCCUGAAUAAAGAGCCCUAAGUGUUUACUAAAGAAAAAAAAAAAAAAA